GGGAGCUUGCUCCCUGAUGUUAGCGGCGGACGGGUGAGUAACACGUGGGUAACCUGCCUGUAAGACUGGGAUAACUCCGGGAAACCGGGGCUAAUACCGGAUGCUUGAUUGAACCGCAUGGUUCAAUUAUAAAAGGUGGCUUUUAGCUACCACUUACAGAUGGACCCGCGGCGCAUUAGCUAGUUGGUGAGGUAACGGCUCACCAAGGCAACGAUGCGUAGCCGACCUGAGAGGGUGAUCGGCCACACUGGGACUGAGACACGGCCCAGACUCCUACGGGAGGCAGCAGUAGGGAAUCUUCCGCAAUGGACGAAAGUCUGACGGAGCAACGCCGCGUGAGUGAUGAAGGUUUUCGGAUCGUAAAACUCUGUUGUUAGGGAAGAACAAGUACCGUUCGAAUAGGGCGGUACCUUGACGGUACCUAACCAGAAAGCCACGGCUAACUACGUGCCAGCAGCCGCGGUAAUACGUAGGUGGCAAGCGUUGUCCGGAAUUAUUGGGCGUAAAGCGCGCGCAGGCGGUUUCUUAAGUCUGAUGUGAAAGCCCCCGGCUCAACCGGGGAGGGUCAUUGGAAACUGGGGAACUUGAGUGCAGAAGAGGAGAGUGGAAUUCCACGUGUAGCGGUGAAAUGCGUAGAGAUGUGGAGGAACACCAGUGGCGAAGGCGACUCUCUGGUCUGUAACUGACGCUGAGGCGCGAAAGCGUGGGGAGCGAACAGGAUUAGAUACCCUGGUAGUCCACGCCGUAAACGAUGAGUGCUAAGUGUUAGAGGGUUUCCGCCCUUUAGUGCUGCAGCAAACGCAUUAAGCACUCCGCCUGGGGAGUACGGUCGCAAGACUGAAACUCAAAGGAAUUGACGGGGGCCCGCACAAGCGGUGGAGCAUGUGGUUU
Molecule: ribosomal RNA, 891 nt
Filed under: Bacillus licheniformis
Lineage: Bacteria; Bacillati; Bacillota; Bacilli; Caryophanales; Bacillaceae
Description: bacterial SSU rRNA
Rfam family: Bacterial small subunit ribosomal RNA
Source: RNAcentral